This is a long non-coding RNA of Cajanus cajan (pigeon pea), 315 nucleotides long. RefSeq lists it as uncharacterized. The record is from RefSeq and is a predicted model, not a curated record. Lineage: Eukaryota; Viridiplantae; Streptophyta; Magnoliopsida; Fabales; Fabaceae.
AUUGGGAAACGCUACCACAAAUCCGAUUGUAAAGAUUCAAAUCUUCAGAUAUUUCCUCCAUUUGUACCAUAGCGCAAGAUUUUCGCUGCUUCCGACCCUCUUCGCGCGUUGAUGGGUGUUGAUCCUAGUAUUAGAGUUAAAGUUUGGCCAUUCCUACUUGGAGUUUGGGGCUGGAUUGUAGUGUAUGAUAACUUGUCAAAACAGCUUUGGGAUAUUAUGAAACAGAACUAGAAUGCCACUCAAAUGUGUUGAAAUGGCGAUAGAGCAUGCCCAAAAUUUGCAUUAGGCAUUUCUGUUUGGUGUUAUAAACAUGCA